This 118-nucleotide small RNA is filed under the name Macaca fascicularis (crab-eating macaque). RNAcentral describes it as "Metazoan signal recognition particle RNA (ENSMFAG00000055504.1)". The record is from Rfam by way of RNAcentral. Lineage: Eukaryota; Metazoa; Chordata; Mammalia; Primates; Cercopithecidae.
GCUGGGCGCGGUGGCGUGCGCCUGUAGUCCCAGCUACUCGGGAAGCUGAGGCAGGAGGAUCGCUUGAGCCCAGGAAUUCAAAUCUAGCCUGGUCAACAUAGCAAGACCCCUGCCUCUA